Molecule: microRNA precursor, 98 nt
Filed under: Camelus ferus (Wild Bactrian camel)
Lineage: Eukaryota; Metazoa; Chordata; Mammalia; Artiodactyla; Camelidae
Description: mir-544 microRNA precursor family
Rfam family: mir-544 microRNA precursor family
Source: Rfam by way of RNAcentral
AUUGCCUAGGGAUCUUGUUAAAAUGCAGAUUUUGAUUCAGUAGGUUUGGGGUGGGGGCUGAAAUUCUGCAUUUCUAGCAAGCUCCUGGGAGAUGCCUU